Molecule: RNase P RNA, 252 nt
Filed under: Microcystis aeruginosa Ma_AC_P_19900807_S299
Lineage: Bacteria; Bacillati; Cyanobacteriota; Cyanophyceae; Chroococcales; Microcystaceae
Description: partial RNase P RNA component class A
Rfam family: Bacterial RNase P class A
About the family: Ribonuclease P (RNase P) is a ubiquitous endoribonuclease, found in archaea, bacteria and eukarya as well as chloroplasts and mitochondria. Its best characterised activity is the generation of mature 5'-ends of tRNAs by cleaving the 5'-leader elements of precursor-tRNAs.
Source: RNAcentral
ACUGAUUGGGGGUAAGGGUGCAAAGGUGCGGUAAGAGCGCACCAGCAGUAUCGAGAGGUACUGGCUCGGUAAACCCCGGUGGGGAGCAAGGUGGAGGGACAAAGGUUGGUCUUUUUCCUGUCCCGUUUUUAGGAACCGCUUGAGGUAAUUGGUGACAAUUAUCCCAGAUAGAUAACCUCUAUUCCAACAAAGGUAAAAGCGAUUUUACUGCUGUUGGGAAAUACAGAAUUCGGCUUAUGUCUGACUCUCUCC